This 492-nucleotide ribosomal RNA is filed under the name uncultured bacterium. RNAcentral describes it as "partial 16S ribosomal RNA". It matches the Rfam family "Bacterial small subunit ribosomal RNA", at positions 29 to 507 of the family's 1533-position model. The record is from RNAcentral.
AGUGAACGCUGGCGGUAGGCCUAACACGUGCAAGUCGAACGGCAGCACAGUAAGAGCUUGCUCUUACGGGUGGCGAGUGGCGGACGGGUGAGGAAUACAUCGGAAUCUACUUUUUCGUGGGGGAUAACGUAGGGAAACUUACGCUAAUACCGCAUACGACCUACGGGUGAAAGCAGGGGAUCUUCGGACCUUGCGCGAUUGAAUGAGCCGAUGUCGGAUUAGCUAGUUGGCGGGGUAAAGGCCCACCAAGGCGACGAUCCGUAGAUGGUCUGAGAGGAUGAUCAGCCACACUGGAACUGAGACACGGUCCAGACUCCUACGGGAGGCAGCAGUGGGGAAUAUUGGACAAUGGGCGCAAGCCUGAUCCAGCCAUACCGCGUGGGUGAAGAAGGCCUUCGGGUUGUAAAGCCCUUUUGUUGGGAAAGAAAAGCAGCAGGUUAAUACCCCGCUGUUCUGACGGUACCCAAAGAAUAAGCACCGGCUAACUUCGUG